AGGCUCCCCACAUCUACUUGCCGAUGCAAGGACUGCAAGAAGACAAAAAGAAAGAGAAACCCAGAAGUCGAUUUGUGAGCAAAAAAGGUCGCAUUGAAUGCAGGCAUCUGAACUUAGCGAGGAGUAAAUGCAAGUCCACGUCUUGAUUCCAAAGAACACGGUUCAAGCCAAGUGAAAUAGAACAAGAGAGAGGGAGGGAGGAAAGCGCCCUAAUCUAAGCACACAUACGCUGGGAUUGAUGUGUCCUUGAAGCUUCUCCAUGACGAGGUGUGAAAAACUUGUUUGAUAUGUAAUUGUAUAUUCAUCUCUCUCUCUCUCUCUCUCUCUCUCUCUCUCUCUCUCUCUCUCUCUCUCUCUCUCUAGGGCUUAGGAGGAAUACAUUGUUGGAGGCUGCUAGAAAUAAAAGGGUAGCAAUAAAUGCAAAGCAGCAAUGAAGCAGAACAGGAAACCUAUGUACUCUAUUCUGGUUAAGAGACUUCUGAACCUGGUUGUGUUAGCCUUAUAUAGGACAAUGGUCUUAAAUGCAAUGGAGAACAGAAUAAGGGCUGUUUUAUU
This is a long non-coding RNA of Tarenaya hassleriana, 555 nucleotides long. RefSeq lists it as uncharacterized. The transcript is spliced from 2 exons. The record is from RefSeq and is a predicted model, not a curated record. NCBI's taxonomy places the organism in Eukaryota, Viridiplantae, Streptophyta, Magnoliopsida, Brassicales, Cleomaceae.